UUUUCUUUUUUUGCCCUCAAUCUGUAUAUUCGUUUAUACUGCUAGGAGAUGGUAACAGCAUGCAAAGAGAGCAUCCAGGCGCUCGCCCCCUCGUCAGCCGUUCGUCCAGGAACUCAUCCCCGUCGCCUGGCCGCGCCCCUCCUCGCGCCCAGCCUUGUCGUCGCCGCACCCUGGCCCUCCUCCUCGCGCCCAGUUGCUCCUCUCCCAGGUACUCCUCGCAUCGCCCAGAGCAAGGAAAAGCAACACCUGGCAAGCAAUUCAGCAACACACAUCAGCAAAACAGGAGAAGCGACACAUCAGCAAGAUACAAGAUCAAAAUCAAUUCCACUACAGUUGAGUACAAGAUCCAGGUGCUUGACAGUAGAGUACAAGAUCAAGAAGAGUAGCUUCAAGAGCAGCAACAGAUCACAGUAGUAGAAUUUUCAGCAUAUGAACAACAGCAAUAAUUUCUCAUCAUAGCACAACACCAGAUCAUCAGGAGAUCUUCAAAUUACUCCAGAUCAAGGAUCAGGUGUACUCCAGAUCAAGAUCAAGAGUACAGGAGUAGGACAACAAAAGAGAACUUCAAAUUACUCCACAUCAAGAGAUCAAGAACUCAGGAGUACGACAACAAAAGCAUUAAGAGUAUCAUUAACACAACAACUGAUCAAGAGGAGCAGUUGAUCAAGAGGACCAGCAGCUAAUCAAGAUGAGGAGCAGAACAUAACAACAACAGCAUUAGCAAGCAGUAUUAGCAGCACUAUCAGCAAUAGCAAAAAUACAACAACAACAGCAUUAUCAGCAGUAUGAAUACCAGGCAGCAUUAUCAGCAAGAGCAGCACCAGCACAACAACAGUAGCAAGUUGAGACUUGUAGUGCUAUGUUGAGACUUGUAGUGCUUUGAUGAGACUUGUAGUGCUAUCGUGAGACUUGUUUGUGGAAAUGCAUCCAUGGAGUCUUGUUUGUCGAAAUGGAUUAUAUUGUUUUUAAGUUGUUUGUGGAAAUGGAUUAUACUCCAUAUGUAUUGUAAGAAUGUAUGAAAUGGAUCAUAUUGUGUAGUUUGAAAUGGUGUACUCCAUAUGUGUUGCUUAAAAUGUGUGCUCCAUAUGUGCUAUUUGAAAUGGAGUGUGAAAGUUUCUGAAAUUUUAUGCAAGUUUCUGAAUUUUAUAAUUUUUGGAAGUUUCUAAAAUUUUGUGCAAGUUUCUGAAUUUUAUAAUUUUUGAGAGUUUCUAAAAUUUUAUGCGAGUUUUUGAAUUUUAAAUUUCCGAGAGUUUCUGAAUAAUUUAUGAAAGUUGUUUGUUUUGGAAUAUGCAAGUUGUGUUGUUCUUUGGAUAGUGUUUGGAGAGGUAAGGAAAGGAGAUGAGAGGAAAGGAAAGUUUGUUUUAGCUAUAGUACAGUAAAGGAGAGUUUGUUUGUCUACCCCAUGUUCCUACAAGUAUUCCAAGCAAAAUACUCCAAGCAAAUACUCUAAGGAACAAUAUUCCUAUCACAAGGAGUAACAAAAUACUCCAAGUACUAUGAUAGUCUUACAGCUAAGAGGCAGACACAGCAGCAUGCGAUCAGCACCCACAUGAUCAACAUCUUCAGGAGCUUCAACCACAUCAAGAAUCUUGACGACCCACAUGAUCAGGAGCCGCAUCUUCAGUAAAUCUGCAACAUUUAAACCUGCUGAAUGUUAGGAUGAUGCACCUGUUAACCCAACACAGAUUUCAGGUUCCAUCCGAAAUUAACAACAUCAAAGCAUUGCAACAAAGAUCACCAACAUUAUAAAUGCAUAAGAUCACUCCUAACAUUAACGUUAACAUUAACAAAAAUCACUCCUAAAGUUUCAGCUAAGCACAUCUACUACCAUUAGAUAUGCACUAAUUUUAUUUCUAGAAUGACACAUGGCCAAUGGGGAAAACACAUGCUAUUCACUUGGAGAAAAAACAGUGAAUGUACUCCUGCAGUCCUGAAUUUACUGUAAAUUUACUCAAUUUCUGAAUGUACAGUAAAUUUACCGCAUCACACUACUCUUACAAGGAGUACUUUCAGUAGAGCAUUUUGUUCUGCAACUUGUAAACUUGCUCGACUAUACUCCUAAAUGAAAUCCUACUUUGAGCAAACACUCUAACUACUCUUACGAGGAGUACUUUUAGUAGAGUACUGUACUUUCAGCCUUUUAGUAGACUACUCCUAAAAGAAAUCCUACUAUCAUUAAGCGUGCAAUGCAACUUUAUGUAUUGUGAUGAUCAUCACUUCUAAGUGAAUACUAAUUAUUACCCGCCAGAUCUAUUUCUUUGUUCCCUUUGCAUUUUCACUUUUCUUUAUACAAUGUCUGCUACCAGGUUAGUUAAAACGGAACCAUGUGGAGUGCAUGUACAGUAGUCUGCUCCUACUCAUAUUGUGACCCAGAUCUGAGUCACAAAUUGUACAACAUGGAGUACCAGAAGACUUACUCCUACUCUGAGUAGGAGAUGAUCUAGCAGCAUCAGAAGACAUAGCGGCACAAGCACAACCACUCUAGCAGUACAAGCAAAAGAGCAUGGAGUACAAGCAGCAACUGCAACUCACCAUCGUCGGG
This 2542-nucleotide long non-coding RNA is filed under the name Triticum aestivum (bread wheat). RNAcentral describes it as "long non-coding RNA (TAES_LNC025171)". Lineage: Eukaryota; Viridiplantae; Streptophyta; Magnoliopsida; Poales; Poaceae. The record is from RNAcentral.